UACGGGGGUCGCAAGCGUUAAGCGGAAUCACUGGGCGUAAAGGGUGCGUAGGCGGUGCAUUAGGACUGUCGUGAAAUCCCCGGGCUCAACCUGGGAAUGGCGGUGGAAACCGGUGUACUAGAGUAUGGGAGAGGGUGGUGGAAUUCCAGGUGUAGCGGUGAAAUGCGUAGAGAUCUGGAGGAACAUCAGUGGCGAAGGCGGCCACCUGGCCCAAUACUGACGCUGAGGCACGAAAGCGUGGGGAGCAAACAGG
RNAcentral lists this ribosomal RNA (253 nucleotides) under uncultured bacterium. RNAcentral describes it as "partial 16S ribosomal RNA". It matches the Rfam family "Bacterial small subunit ribosomal RNA", at positions 524 to 776 of the family's 1533-position model. The record is from RNAcentral.